Molecule: ribosomal RNA, 201 nt
Filed under: uncultured bacterium
Lineage: Bacteria
Description: partial 16S ribosomal RNA
Rfam family: Bacterial small subunit ribosomal RNA
Source: RNAcentral
ACGCUCGACACCUACUGGAGGCAGCAGUGGGGGAAUAUUGGGCAAUGGGCGCAAGCCUGACCCAGCAACGCCGCGUGAAGGAAGAAGGCUUUCGGGUUGUAAACUUCUUUUGUCAGGGACGAAUAAAUGACGGUACCUGACGAAUAAGCCACGGCUAACUACGUGCCAGCAGCCGCGGUAAUCUGAGCGGGCUGGCAAGGC